AAACAUCCUUACCACCCUCCAAUCCCAAAUCAAUACCCCAUUCAGAAAGCAAGAAGGACCAAUAAUCCAGAGACCAAAGCCAGUAACCCCAUCUCAAAUUUGCGGCUUGCAGCACCGAAAUUUUGGUCAAUAGGGUACAGGUUCCCCGGUGGACCAGUUAUGUAGAUAAAGGAAGGCGGACUAGGUGGUGGUGGACAGUAUUGGGAUGGCGACUUUUUUGGUGGUGGCGGCGGAAGAGCAGGCGGUGAUGGUGGUGGAGGGCAUGGUGGAGGCGGCGACGGUGGUGGAGGACUUUGUACGCAUGAUGGGGUACACUUGAUGCCUUGAUCACCUGGUACCGUGCUCUCGUCAAGCUUCCUUGAUUCCAAAGCGUCGAUGGGGUAUGCAAC
Molecule: long non-coding RNA, 389 nt
Filed under: Gossypium barbadense (sea-island cotton)
Lineage: Eukaryota; Viridiplantae; Streptophyta; Magnoliopsida; Malvales; Malvaceae
Description: long non-coding RNA (GBAR_LNC002519)
Source: RNAcentral